Molecule: ribosomal RNA, 492 nt
Filed under: uncultured bacterium
Lineage: Bacteria
Description: partial 16S ribosomal RNA
Rfam family: Bacterial small subunit ribosomal RNA
Source: RNAcentral
AGUGAACGCUGGCGGCAGGCCUAACACAUGCAAGUCGAACGGACGCACCGUAAGUGCUUGCUCUUACGGGUGGCGAGCGGCGGACGGGUGAGGUAUACAUCGGAAUCCACUGUUACGCGGGGGAUAACGUAGAGUAACCCAUGCUAAUACCGCAUAUGACCCACGGGUGGAAGCAGGGGACCUUCGGACCUGGCGGGAAGGAAAGAGCCGAUCUCGGAGUCGCUAGGUGGCGGGGUAAAGGCCCAGCAAGGCGACGAUCCGUAGCUGGUCCGAGAGGAUGAUCAGCUACACUGGAACUGAGACACGGUCCCGACUCCUACGGUGGGCCGCAGUGGGGACUACUGCACAAGGGGGCCGUGCCUGAUCCAGCCCUACCGCCUGAGUGAUGAAGCCCUUCUGGUUGUUGAGCCCUUUUGUUGUUAAGGUUGUGCAACUGUUUAAUCCCCCACUGUUCUGACGGUACCCAGAGAAUAAGCCCCGGCUAACUUCGUG